AAGUGGUAGCGACAAAGCUCGGUGGGCGGCGGGCGGUGUAGUGCAGGGAGCGCCGGGCGGCGGGCGGCAGGGAGGGGCGGAGCGCAGGAGGUGGAGGCGGGAGCAGAGCUGCUCGGCCGUGCGCGGAGACGCGCGGAGCCGGCGGGCCAAGCUUGACGGGCCCCUCGCCGCUCCUCCUCUCCCCUCCCUGCCACCAUCCUGCUCGUUCUCCUCCGGACGCGGCUGGGCUCCGUGUGGCGCCACCGUGCCGCCAGCAGUGCCCGUUCGCCCGAGGCGCGUGGGGCGCCCCCGCAGCCCCGCGAAUGCUGCUGCUAGGGGUGGUGGGAGCAGCCGUGGGACGCGUGGCCGGGAGCGGGGGUGACAGCCUGGGAUUCCAGGGUCUUCUCUUCCUUGUCCUCCUCCUCUCCUCUCUAUUCCCAGUGUGGCCGUGGCUGACACUAAAGACUUUGUAGCCAUCAACCAGAGUGCAGUUUCGAUGGAAAAUGAAGGUAAAGGCCCCUGGCAGAUGGGCUUGUAAUACAAGAGUUGAGGGUGUGGUGGUUUGCUUUUUAAGUUGUCCUUUCCCACCUUUUUAUUUUCCUGAUUUUAUGUAAUUGAUUUUUCUCCCCCUUUGCAUGUGAAAUGUCAGAGGAUUUGCUUCCCUAAGGGCAUGUAGCUUUUAUUUUGGUAACAUGGGCAUUGCGGGGAUUAAGGUUCUGCGGGUGACAGCUUGAUUCUGCUUUCCUGGGAAAUGGUUAUUUUCUUUAGCUUAGGGAAUGGAACGGAAGUUUUCAUUUGAGAUAGCAUCUGAGCACAUCCUUAUAGCUCUUUGAAAGGAAUCCGUGGGUGCGAAGUGGAAAGGGGCAGAGAAGGCAGUGGGUCAGAUCUCUGUAUAUUUGCGUAGCAAGCUUUGUUAGGGCGUGUGACUGAAUCAUAAAAAGAUUUCUAAAAUAAAUUCCAGCUUUGACAAAAAGCGUUUUUGAACUCAGAUUAAGGGGGAAAAAAAAAACAAACCCAAAAUCAAAACACCCUAACCCUUUAGUUUAAUGAAAUUUUCAGAGAGUUUCCUGUCUUAAAGUCCCGCCCUAUUUCAAAACAUCUUUGGGAGGUUGACAGUGGAACCUGUUUGUCCCUAUUACACAUCGUGUUUGGACGCAUUUGUCUGUCACAUUACUGGAUCGCUUUGGCCUCAUUCAAAUAAUGCUUCUCAUUUAUAGCACUUAGGUUUUAAAAAGUAUUGACUAACUGAGUAAAUGAUUUUUCUUCCCUCUUGAACUAACCAUGUUUAUUGUUUAUGCUGACUUUCUGGCUUGUGUAUAAUUAUCUUUCUUUUUUCCCCACCUCCCUUUUUGACUGGACUGCAAGAUGCUAGAAAAGGUACUUGACAAAUCAUUUCUUCCUCCCUUCCCUUGUUUGCUUUUAAAAUCUGUAUCUGGUACACAGGAGCUGCAGUGUAAGUUGAAUGCUUUUCCCAUUGUUGAGAAUGUAAGCUUGAUUGGCUAAGUAGGACUUUAAAUCUUAAAAUAGGUGUUUCUUGUGGAUGUCGUAAUCUGUUGUGCGAUUGGAGAACCGUGGCAUAUGUAGGAAAUAUGGUGAGAGGCAUGGUUAACUUGGCCCGUUUCAUUCUAGAGGGAUAGUUGGUGGAAUGCGUUUUCUGACACACUGAAGUGUGUAACUGCAGAGGAGUUUAUGCUAAUUGGAUCUUGAGGAAAGCAGUUGUGUUUUUUUUCUGAUGGUAUGAAAAAUUAUCCUCUUGUCUUUUAUAGAUUUCAGAAAGUCAGAUUUUUUUUAUAAGACAAUAUUAAGCCCAUUCAUAUAGCGGUUUCUAUUUAGAAAUCUCUGUAAGUAAAUCUCAGAGUUACUGUACAUAUCCGAGCUAUUUUCAGAGUAUUACCAGAUUUAGCAGAGUAGCCUGAAGUAGGUGGAUACUUGGCUGUUGGUUUCCUUUCUCGGU
Molecule: long non-coding RNA, 1933 nt
Filed under: Rattus norvegicus (Norway rat)
Lineage: Eukaryota; Metazoa; Chordata; Mammalia; Rodentia; Muridae
Description: long non-coding RNA NONRATT033706
Source: RNAcentral